This is a long non-coding RNA of Thunnus maccoyii (southern bluefin tuna), 656 nucleotides long. RefSeq lists it as uncharacterized. The transcript has 3 exons. NCBI's taxonomy places the organism in Eukaryota, Metazoa, Chordata, Actinopteri, Scombriformes, Scombridae. The record is from RefSeq and is a predicted model, not a curated record.
GGCCGGCCCUCCGCCGACAGCUCAAUGGUCUCACCAUUUUCCUGCUUCUUCUCAAGAGCUCUGUGAAGAAGGGAAUGGAAAACCCAAAGCAUACACCGUAUCUGCUGCAGUGACUUUUCAUGACUGACCCUGAAUUAAAGAAAAUCCGUUGUAAUCCUUAAAGGCUACCUGACCUUCUCCCUGUCACUCUCGACACACCAUGAGUUAAUCUUUUAACUCAUACAUCAAGGACAAAUGUCAGGGCAGUUCAACACCUCGGUUCAGAGUUGAGUCAACAGCUUGGAGACAGUGAUGGGAUAAGAGAGAGUCAAAUAACUGGUGUAAUUGUUUGCAAGGAUGAAAAGCUUUUCAUGACACCAGUAAGCAGGACCUAGUGAACUCAGUGUAGUAACACAAAAUGCCAGAGUAUCAACUGUGACAAGCACUGUAACCACACUAACUGUGCACAUUUUGGAGUUCAUUAGCAUCAGUACAGUCAACUGAGUCAGAAGAAUAUUGUGCUGGAGAAACACUGAUGAGACAAACAAAACUCAGUAAAAGAAGUUGAAUAUUUUUGCUCACAUGUCAAUCAGUUGUUCUGUCUCUGAUAUCGUAGAUGAGAAGAAAGCAGUUCAUUCAGGCAAAAGAUGCAAAUAAACCGAGAGAUGUGCACAAUA